Molecule: ribosomal RNA, 410 nt
Filed under: uncultured Methylomirabilota bacterium
Lineage: Bacteria; Methylomirabilota (SeqCode)
Description: bacterial SSU rRNA
Rfam family: Bacterial small subunit ribosomal RNA
Source: RNAcentral
AGCGUGGAGACAGGUGGUGCAUGGCUGUCGUCAGCUCGUGUCGUGAGAUGUUGGGUUAAGUCCCGCAACGAGCGCAACCCUCACCCCUUGUUGCUACCAGGUAAAGCUGGGCACUCUAGGGGAACUGCCCCGGUCAACGGGGAGGAAGGCGGGGAUGACGUCAAGUCAUCAUGCCCCUUACGUCCUGGGCUACACACGUGCUACAAUGGCCGGUACAAAGGGAUGCCACACCGCGAGGUAGAGCUAAACCCAAAAAGCCGGUCUAAGUUCAGAUUGGAGUCUGCAACUCGACUCCAUGAAGGAGGAAUCGCUAGUAAUCGCGUAUCAGCACGACGCGGUGAAUACGUUCCCGGGCCUUGUACACACCGCCCGUCACACCACGAAAGCCAGCUGUACUCGAAGUCGCUGAG